RNAcentral lists this ribosomal RNA (1357 nucleotides) under Bacillus velezensis. RNAcentral's name for it is "bacterial SSU rRNA". It matches the Rfam family "Bacterial small subunit ribosomal RNA", at positions 95 to 1438 of the family's 1533-position model. Lineage: Bacteria; Bacillati; Bacillota; Bacilli; Caryophanales; Bacillaceae. The record is from RNAcentral.
GCGGCGGACGGGUGAGUAACACGUGGGUAACCUGCCUGUAAGACUGGGAUAACUCCGGGAAACCGGGGCUAAUACCGGAUGGUUGUUUGAACCGCAUGGUUCAGACAUAAAAGGUGGCUUCGGCUACCACUUACAGAUGGACCCGCGGCGCAUUAGCUAGUUGGUGAGGUAACGGCUCACCAAGGCGACGAUGCGUAUCCGACCUGAGAGGGUGAUCGGCCACACUGGGACUGAGACACGGCCCAGACUACUACGGGAGGCAGCAGUAGGGAAUCUUCCGCAAUGGACGAAAGUCUGACGGAGCAACGCCGCGUGAGUGAUGAAGGUUUUCGGAUCGUAAAGCUCUGUUGUUAGGGAAGAACAAGUGCCGUUCAAAUAGGGCGGCACCUUGACGGUACCUAACCAGAAAGCCACGGCUAACUACGUGCCAGCAGCCGCGGUAAUACGUAGGUGGCAAGCGUUGUCCGGAAUUAUUGGGCGUAAAGGGCUCGCAGGCGGUUUCUUAAGUCUGAUGUGAAAGCCCCCGGCUCAACCGGGGAGGGUCAUUGGAAACUGGGGAACUUGAGUGCAGAAGAGGAGAGUGGAAUUCCACGUGUAGCGGUGAAAUGCGUAGAGAUGUGGAGGAACACCAGUGGCGAAGGCGACUCUCUGGUCUGUAACUGACGCUGAGGAGCGAAAGCGUGGGGAGCGAACAGGAUUAGAUACCCUGGUAGUCCACGCCGUAAACGAUGAGUGCUAAGUGUUAGGGGGUUUCCGCCCCUUAGUGCUGCAGCUAACGCAUUAAGCACUCCGCCUGGGGAGUACGGUCGCAAGACUGAAACUCAAAGGAAUUGACGGGGGCCCGCACAAGCGGUGGAGCAUGUGGUUUAAUUCGAAGCAACGCGAAGAACCUUACCAGGUCUUGACAUCCUCUGACAAUCCUAGAGAUAGGACGUCCCCUUCGGGGGCAGAGUGACAGGUGGUGCAUGGUUGUCGUCAGCUCGUGUCGUGAGAUGUUGGGUUAAGUCCCGCAACGAGCGCAACCCUUGAUCUUAGUUGCCAGCAUUCAGUUGGGCACUCUAAGGUGACUGCCGGUGACAAACCGGAGGAAGGUGGGGAUGACGUCAAAUCAUCAUGCCCCUUAUGACCUGGGCUACACACGUGCUACAAUGGACAGAACAAAGGGCAGCGAAACCGCGAGGUUAAGCCAAUCCCACAAAUCUGUUCUCAGUUCGGAUCGCAGUCUGCAACUCGACUGCGUGAAGCUGGAAUCGCUAGUAAUCGCGGAUCAGCAUGCCGCGGUGAAUACGUUCCCGGGCCUUGUACACACCGCCCGUCACACCACGAGAGUUUGUAACACCCGAAGUCGGUGAGGUAA